GGAGAGGUCGCAUAGUGGUCGAGUGCACGUCGUUGGAAACGACGCAAGCCUUUACCGGCUUCGAGGGUUCGAAUCCCUCUCUCUCCGCCA
RNAcentral lists this transfer RNA (90 nucleotides) under Candidatus Doudnaibacteriota bacterium. RNAcentral's name for it is "Candidatus Doudnabacteria bacterium tRNA-Ser". It matches the Rfam family "tRNA". From Rfam's summary of the family: Transfer RNA (tRNA) molecules are approximately 80 nucleotides in length. Their secondary structure includes four short double-helical elements and three loops (D, anti-codon, and T loops). Lineage: Bacteria; Candidatus Doudnaibacteriota. The record is from RNAcentral.